Molecule: long non-coding RNA, 1689 nt
Filed under: Podarcis lilfordi (Lilford's wall lizard)
Lineage: Eukaryota; Metazoa; Chordata; Lepidosauria; Squamata; Lacertidae
Source: RNAcentral
CAAGUGUCACAAGGAAAACGGGAAUCAUGUUAUCAAUGGCUCAGGUGAGUGUUUGAGAUAACUACGAGCCCAGGUAAUGGGGACUGCUUCUGUAGCUGGGCCAACAUUUCUGAGACUUUUUCUUCACAUAAGUGUCCUGCCCCCUUCAGAACUUUGGAUGUAGUGUUAUACUGAGCCAGACCAUUGUUCCAUCUAGCUGAGCAUUGUCAACCCUGACUAGGAGUGGCCUCGCCAUGAUUUGAGAACAUAAUGCUGAACUCAAUCUCCGAAUGGUGUGAGAUUCCGGAGGUUCCAGGCGUGUACCCAGGGAUCGAUCUCCUUGGAAUGAGGGACAGCAGAGACUGUGGUGUCUUUGGAAUAUCUGGUUUAUUUAUACCUAUAUGAAACCUGAAAUAUACUCAGAGUCCUGUAGCGAUUUCAUGCUCUUUAUUGCAGCUUGUAAAACAGUGAUUGAUUUGCCCCCCAAACCUCAGGCUUUUAUAUACAUUAUUUACACAAUGAGUCCCGUCCGAUUGGCUGAUUCUGCUUCCCUCCUGGAGCCUGAUUGGUCUUUUCGUGCAGGCCAAUCGGAUGUUGCAUUCUACGAUCCUACCAGCCUAAUAGGCUGGUUAACUUAAGUUUGUUGCAUUCUAGGAUCUUACUUGCCUUACUUGCCUAUUGUUCUAGGAUCCAAGGUUAGUACAUAACAGAACCUGAGCCUACAGUGGAGGGGCUCACAGCAUUAACACCCCAAGAAGGCCCUGCUUCUCCCAUAGCCACAAUCUUGGAUUCAAGCAACAAUCAAGCAUGUCUCCCUUCUCACGCUUCUGCCUGCAGCCUGCUUCCAGUUCAGCUCUCUCUCUCACACUGCCUUUUGUCUUUCUCACUACCAGCCAGGCGAGUGAGGGAGACCCACCCAUUUGCCCUUCCUUUCUUAUACCAGCGAUCCAUACACAGUGGGAAGGUAAACGGCGUUUCUGUGCGCUGCCCUGGUUCGCCAGAAGCGGCUUAGUCAUGCUGGCCACAUGACCCAGAAGCUGUACGCCGGCUCCCUCGGCCAAUAAAGCGAGAUGAGCGCCGCAACCCCAGAGUCGUCCGCGACUGGACCUAAUGGUCAGGGGUACCUUUACCUUAGGUUGGUGGCUAUCACUGCCUCCUGUGGAAACAAGUUCCAUAGUUUAACUAGGUGCUGUGCAUGAAGAUGUGCUGUCUUUUAUCUGCACUGAAUCUUCUGGUGUUCGGCUUCAGAGCAGAGUGCAAGCAACCUCAGCAGAGCAGCCUUUCCAAAGUCAAAGUCUUCCAUGAUGUAAGAUAGGCAACAUUUUCAUUUUCUGUUUCUUUCAAUGUAGAGGCAAACACAGAAAUGCCGGCAGUGGUUUAAUCCCCAAUGAUGCAACAAGCUGAUCGAUACAGAAGUGCCUCACUGCCGAUUAGCGCGAGAAUAAACUCGCUUUCUAUCUGAAAAGGCUGGCUGCAUGCAGAAGGACCCAGGUUCCCCGGAAAAGUUCUCAGGUGCUCUGAACUGCCUGAAACCCUGGAGCUGCUGCAUGUCAGAACAGGCAAUGGAACAUUGGUAACUCGGAAAAGACGGCAUCAUCUCUUCAUAGGCAACUACUGACUUUGCUGUGGAACAUUAAAUGUUGAGCUUUGGUGCUGGAAGUCCAUUGGGGAGUUUCUUGAACCUUGUAGUAUCAUGACCUCACUCUGCCA